This 253-nucleotide ribosomal RNA is filed under the name uncultured bacterium. RNAcentral describes it as "partial 16S ribosomal RNA". It matches the Rfam family "Bacterial small subunit ribosomal RNA", at positions 524 to 776 of the family's 1533-position model. The record is from RNAcentral.
UACAGAGGGGGCAAGCGUUGUUCGGAAUUACUGGGCGUAAAGGGCGCGUAGGCGGCCUUCUAAGUCGAACGUGAAAUCCCCGGGCUCAACCCGGGAACUGCGUCCGAUACUGGAAGGCUUGAAUCCGGGAGAGGGAUGCGGAAUUCCCAGUGUAGAGGUGAAAUUCGUAGAUAUUGGGAAGAACACCGAUGGCGAAGGCAGCCAUCUGGACCGACACUGACGCUGAGGCGCGAAAGCGUGGGGAGCAAACAGG